Long non-coding RNA from Dioscorea cayenensis subsp. rotundata (Guinea yam), 3202 nucleotides. RefSeq lists it as uncharacterized. The transcript is spliced from 2 exons. NCBI's taxonomy places the organism in Eukaryota, Viridiplantae, Streptophyta, Magnoliopsida, Dioscoreales, Dioscoreaceae. The record is from RefSeq and is a predicted model, not a curated record.
AGGAUGAAAAUUAAUCAAGGGCUAGGAUAGCAUCAUCUAAAGCAUUUGUUUAAGUUCGAGGCGUUGGAGAGAUAUCAUAAUGGUUAAGUUAAGGAUAAUUUUGUCUUUUCAAUAUUUGUUUCUUUUCUGUUAGUUAUAUAUAUGUUUGUAAGAGAGGACUGAAUGGAUAAGAAAAACUCUGAUGAAUGUUCUAGUUCUUUUAUGCUUACUGUUUGUGUUUUCUCUGAGUGUGUUUUCUCAACUUGUAUCAGAUUGAUUACUGAACUUUCUGGUUUUAGCAUUCUCUGUGUUUCAACACCUAGCAGCAUAUGUCAUAUCCAAAUCUUAUGCAAAGCGUAGGAUACAUCAAACUUCAGACUGCUAAUGUGCAUUAAGCAUACUACACUUCUUUCUUUUCAUUCUCAUUUGAGUUGUUUUGUUUUGAUUAAAAAUUACUUCCAAAUAGAGCAUUCACUAGUUUUCAUUAUUUAUAUUGAAGGGAUGAAGUGCUUUCACAAUAUAUUUCCUUUAAUAACCAUAGCUCCGUAGCUCUCUUUUCAUUCCUUAUAGACACACAUUAUCUUGCUAUGCAAAUCCUAAGUCCUUCAUAGCAAGAUCUACUAGAAACAUUCUCUAUUUUAGCAAUCUCGAUAGUGUCCUACUUGACAAUCAACAUGUCAUCCACAUAAAGCAACAUCAUAUCUCUUGAUGAACAUAUAAUGGUCCGAAGAUGGUUACAUAUACCCAUAACACUCCACUAGUUAGUUUAACUUCUUGUACUAUUGCCUUGUAGCUUGUUUAAGGCCAUACAAACUCUUCCUUAACUUGCAAACAUAUGUUCAAUACUCUUGACUUUAAACCCUUUUAAUUACUCUUUCUAGAUUGUUUCUUCAAUGUCAUAAUGUAGAAAUGCAAUCUUAUGUCAAAAGCUCAGCCUCCAAGUCCAAUGAGAUCCCAAAUAAGAUCUUCAAGUACUAGUACUCCCAAAUGAGAUCUGAUAUUGUUUACCUUGCAAACAAUCACAAGGACUAAGUAAUGAACCUUUCAUCUUAGGAAGCAAAUUCUUCUUUCAAACUUCCAACCCUUUCGCACUCAUGGCCAAGCAGUCAGUGCCACAAGUCAAUAGUAGAAUCCUAUCUCCUCUUAUCUCUUUAUCCUUGUCUCCCAAAAUUUAACUUCUAUGCUCAAUUUUGCUCUUCAUCAUAGUAUGAUUUCUGGUUAUAAUCAUCUUCUCAAGUAUACAUAAUUUGAAUCAUCUCAUGUUCGCUGGUGAUCUUGUGCUCAUUUCUCAAGCCUCUAGGAAAACUUCUAGAUACAUUAAUCUUUGCCAUGCUAUUUAUGGGAACAUUACUGGGCAAGUCUCAAAUGCUUCUAAAUCAGCUAUUUACCUUCCUUGUUGGUUUAAUAAGAAAUUUGCUAAGAGUAUCUGUUCCAUCCUUAAGUUCCCGGCUGCCUCUUUCCCUCUUAACUAUCUUGGAGUCUUAAUUUCCCUAAGAGAUUGGCUAAGGCUGUUUUUGAUUCCAUGACUGUGAAAAUCAGCCAUCGUUACUCUAGAUGGAAACACUCCAACUUUUCUUCUGCAGCUCUUAUUAACUCUUCUCUGUUAUCUAUUCCUACUUAUUAUUUAUUUGUCUAUCCUAUCUAUGAUUCUGUUCUCCAUGAAAUCAAUAGAAUUGUUAGGAGAUUCUUUUGGGUGUAAAAGUGGCAAUGGAAAUAGCAUCCAUGUUGUUGCUUGGGAUGAUCUUAUUGUUUCUAAAUCUGAAGGGGGUCUUGCAAUCAGAAACCUUCUUCUUGAUAAGCAUUCUCUUAUGGCCAAAAAUAUUUUUAAAUACAUUAACUGUGAUGACUAUAUUUGGGUUGAUAUUUUAUAUGUUAAGUAUGGUGUGCUUAACUUCUGGAGGGAUUCUAUUCCUACUAGUUGCUCUUGGUUCUUCAGGGGCUUGUGUCACUCUAUUUUUAAAUUAAAACACUUUUUGAGGAUUAAUACUGUGAACCCAAAUCAAACUUCUUUUUUUGUAUCACCCUUGGUGCUCUGAGAUUCCACUUGCGCUAAAUCCCACUUUUCUUAAUAUAAGUUUGGACUUAGAGUCGCUUAAUAUUCUUGAACUCAUUCUCAAUUGCACUUGGGAUUUACAUAAAUUUGGUUUGUUGUUUGGUAAUAACUUGGAUUGCUUCAUUCCUAGACUUGGAAACAUUGAUCCUACUGUUUCUAAUCAUUGGAUUUGGUUCCCUAAGUCUCAUAAUUGCAGGCUUGAUGUCACAGUUUAUCAAUAUUUGAAUCAGAAUCCUUGUUGGUCUGAUAAUUGAAUGGGUUGGAAAAAAUUUGGGAUUUAAAGGUGGCCCCUCAGGUUAAACAUUUUAUGUGGCUCACAUUUAAAGGGAGAAUUGCUACAUCUGAUUAUCUUUAUUCGAUCAAUUUGGGUCCUCGAUGUUUUUGUGCCUUGUGUGGUCUUGAGCCUGAAUCGAUUAAACAAUAGUUGGCCUCUUGUUGUAAAGCCUAAGCAGUUUGGAAUCAGAUUAGCCUUAAGAUUGGUAUCCCUCUUACUUUUCAAGAUGGUUUCAGUUCUAGCAAUUGGCUCAUCACUGGCAGCUUUUCGCUUUACAUUAAAUCUACUAUUGUUGCAACAGCUUGGUUUAUUUGGAAGAAUCGAUGUGAUAAAAUUUGCAAGAAUAUCAAUGCUACUUGCCAAGUUAUAGCUUGCAGGACUUUGGCUCAUGUUUUGGAAUUCUCUUGUGUCCCUGCGGAGCAAUUUGGCAAGGGAUUAAUACUUACCAAUUUCUCCUCUGCUAAUGGCCCAUUCUUUUUCAUCUCUAGCUUCUAGAAUGCUACAACUGAGGUAGGUGGAGCAUGUUUCUCUUGUUCUAGCUCUAAUUAUUCAAUUUCCAUGGCAGGUUCCUGCCCUGCACACGCGGAGACUGAUGCUGAAUCCUGAUAUUUGCUGAAUCAUAUCAGAAUCCUUACUUUGAAUCAUCCAUCGAGUAGCAAACGUUUAAACUCCUGGAUCCCAAGUAUCAACCAACUAUUCACCAUGGCGGGCUGUCCUGCAAUGCAUAUUAUUCCUAAGACUUGGGCCUCUCCUACUUUCAAGUUAGUUCUUCAUAUUGUUAACCUUCAUGUCCUUACCUUGUUCUUUUAAGAUCGUGAUCUUCCUCAUUGGAUUAUGAAGUGUUUUAUGAAUUCUGGAUUUGUUUUUUUAAGGAUCUUCUUUUCUUUUUGGUUUUA